UUCGUACACGCUAACUUGAAAGUACCCAUUAAAUGGGUUCCAAAUACCCAUUUUUAUGAACAGUACUGAGUUGUCAGAAAAAGAGUAUUUUUCAAAUGUCAUAAAAAGGGUACUUUAUCCCCAUGAUGAAGCUUCUAAUCGAUUAACAAUAAUGGGUAAAUAAUACGCGUGGUAUUCUGAAGAGCAGCACCGCCAUUUUCCAGUUGCUGUUGCGGCUCUGUUUGCUUUUAGUGAAAUGAAAACCUUUUUUGAUGCGGGAAUUAUACACUUGGAGUGCAUUCAAAGCUCAUUUUUUAAAAACAUCUAUUAAGAAUUUGGAUACAGAUGUGGCACAAUAUUUUCCAGAGAUUUCCAAUAUGCUGGGAUGGAGUACCGAGGGAGAUUAUACGGAAAGUGUUCCGUAUGAAGAGGCAUCAGUGGUCCAGUGGGUGAUCCCCAGUGGUUAAUUUAGAUAACCUGUUGGAGGUCAACGAUCGGCAUUUUAUAAUUGAAAAAAUAUAUGAUUGUGACGAUAAUGUGCGAA
Molecule: long non-coding RNA, 523 nt
Filed under: Aedes aegypti (yellow fever mosquito)
Lineage: Eukaryota; Metazoa; Arthropoda; Insecta; Diptera; Culicidae
Description: lncRNA AAEL022754
Source: RNAcentral